GGCCGCGGGAAUUCGAUUCAGGCCUAACACAUGCAAGUCGAACGAUGAAGCUGGAACUUGCUCCGGUGGAUUAGUGGCGAACGGGUGAGUAACACGUGAGAAAUCUGCCCUUGACUCUGGGAUAACUGCGGGAAACUGUAGCUAAUACCGGAUACUUUCCUUGGUGGGCAUCCACUGGGGAAGAAAGAAUUUCGGUCAAGGAUGAUCUCGCGGCCUAUCAGCUAGUUGGUGAGGUAAUGGCUCACCAAGGCGACGACGGGUAGCCGGCCUGAGAGGGUGGGGGGCCACACUGGGACUGAGACACGGCCCAGACUCCUACGGGAGGCAGCAGUGGGGAAUA
Molecule: ribosomal RNA, 340 nt
Filed under: uncultured bacterium
Lineage: Bacteria
Description: bacterial SSU rRNA
Rfam family: Bacterial small subunit ribosomal RNA
Source: RNAcentral